AAAUUAUCUUAUAAAUGAAAUUCCUUCCUAUAAACAAUUCUUAAAACUUUUAUUAAUUCUCGAUGAUAAUCAUAGUAACAAUAAUAAUCUCUUUAGUAAUAUGUCUAGAUGACAUAUAUAGUUAUAGUAAAAUAACUAAUCAUAUUGCUAUUAAGACUAUGAAUCCUAGAACAACUUAAUUUCGUAAAUAAAAUAAAAUAAAAUAUUAUUUCCUAAUAGAACUCUAUAAAUACUUCUAAAUACUAAUAGAAUUCCUAAAGAAUAAAAAUUUAAAUUUCCUAAUUCUACAAUAACUAUAAUUCCACUGCAUCAACUACCCUUCCCACCCACUCACUAUACUUCUCUUUUCUCUCUCUUCUCUGCCUUCCCCUUCUCUCCCUAUUUUCCCCUUCAACCCCCUUUUUCCCCAUCGCCACCUAGCCCCACCAACGUCAAUGCCACCUCCCCAGCCUAUAGUGACCCUCCCCUGAACCCAGUAACAAGCAGUGGUGUUGAUUUGGAGUAGAAAACCAUCCGAUCGCGAAGAGGAGAAUUGCGACCCACAAAGAAGACCCCAAGAAUUGCAAUCAGCAGUCGCAACUUCAGACAGACACAGCGCCAACUCCCCACCCCCUAUCAACCUUCUCUUGACCUCAACGAUGAGUGGUGGCUUUGAUUUGGGGCAAGAAAUCUUCAAGUCGUUAAGAGGAGAAACACAGCCCGCAAAAAAGAACGGGCCAGGUUCCAGUGUUCCCAACAUCAGACAAACACAACGCCACCACCAAUCAACUCCUUUCCUCUUGGGCAUGUUGACCAAUCCCAGCCUCCACCAUCGCCAGAAACACAAGAAUUGAAGAGAGAAGAUUUUA
RNAcentral lists this unclassified non-coding RNA (848 nucleotides) under Hevea brasiliensis (rubber tree). The record is from RNAcentral. Lineage: Eukaryota; Viridiplantae; Streptophyta; Magnoliopsida; Malpighiales; Euphorbiaceae.